RNAcentral lists this transfer RNA (75 nucleotides) under Armatimonas rosea. It matches the Rfam family "tRNA". From Rfam's summary of the family: Transfer RNA (tRNA) molecules are approximately 80 nucleotides in length. The record is from Rfam by way of RNAcentral. Lineage: Bacteria; Bacillati; Armatimonadota; Armatimonadia; Armatimonadales; Armatimonadaceae.
GCCCUGGUAGCUCAGCUGGUCAGAGCGGUCGCCUUGUAAGCGAAAGGUUCGUCGGUUCGAAUCCGACCCAGGGCU